Molecule: unclassified non-coding RNA, 368 nt
Filed under: uncultured Pseudomonadota bacterium
Lineage: Bacteria; Pseudomonadati; Pseudomonadota
Description: uncultured proteobacterium contains 16S-23S intergenic spacer region
Source: RNAcentral
UCCCUGGUUGACCAGGGCAGUCUCCUGUGACACGUAUAACACAGGACAAGGGUUGCGCUCGUUGCGGGACUUAACCCAACAUCUCACGACGCGAGCUGACGACAGCCAUGCAGCACCUGUCACUCAUCCGGCCGAACUGAAGGAAACCAUCUCUGGAAUCCGCGAUGAGGAUGUCAAACGCUGGUAAGGUUCUGCGCGUUGCUUCGAAUUAAACCACAUGCUCCGCUGCUUGUGCGGGCCCCCGUCAAUUCCUUUGAGUUUUAACCUUGCGGCCGUACUCCCCAGGCGGUCAACUUAAUGCGUUAGCUGCGCCACUAAGAGCUCAAGGCUCCCAACGGCUAGUUGACAUCGUUUACGGCGUGGACUAC